RNAcentral lists this ribosomal RNA (403 nucleotides) under bacterium. RNAcentral's name for it is "partial 16S ribosomal RNA". It matches the Rfam family "Bacterial small subunit ribosomal RNA", at positions 355 to 777 of the family's 1533-position model. The record is from RNAcentral.
UGGGGAAUUUUGCACAAUGGGGGAAACCCUGAUGCAGCGACGCCGCGUGAUUUAGAAGGCCUUCGGGUUGUAAAAAUCUUUUUUACGGGAUGAAAAUGACAGUACCGUAAGAAUAAGGUCCGGCUAAAUACGUGCCAGCAGCCGCGGUAAUACGUAUGGACCGAGCGUUGUCCGGAAUCAUUGGGCGUAAAGGGUACGUAGGCGGCCUAGUAAGUUAGAAGUGAAAUAAUAUAGCUCAACUAUAUAAAGCUUUUAAAACUGCUAGGCUUGAGAGAUGGAAGGGAAAGUGGAAUUCCUAGUGUAGCGGUGAAAUGCGCAGAUAUUAGGAAGAAUACCGGUGGCGAAGGCGACUUUCUGGUCAUCAUCUGACGCUGAGGUACGAAAGCGUGGGUAGCAAACAGGA